RNAcentral lists this transfer RNA (76 nucleotides) under Streptomyces phage JustBecause. RNAcentral's name for it is "tRNA-Ile". It matches the Rfam family "tRNA". Rfam says of the family: Transfer RNA (tRNA) molecules are approximately 80 nucleotides in length. Their secondary structure includes four short double-helical elements and three loops (D, anti-codon, and T loops). Further hydrogen bonds mediate the characteristic L-shaped molecular structure. tRNAs have two regions of fundamental functional importance: the anti-codon, which is responsible for specific mRNA codon recognition, and the 3' end, to which the tRNAs corresponding amino acid is attached (by aminoacyl-tRNA synthetases). tRNAs cope with the degeneracy of the genetic code in two manners: having more than one tRNA (with a specific anti-codon) for a particular amino acid; and 'wobble' base-pairing, i.e. permitting non-standard base-pairing at the 3rd anti-codon position. The record is from RNAcentral. Lineage: Duplodnaviria; Heunggongvirae; Uroviricota; Caudoviricetes.
UGGCGGGUAGCUCAGUUCGGUCAGAGCGCUUCCCUGAUAAGGAAGAGGCCGGGGGUUCAAGUCCCUCUCUGCCAAC